This 405-nucleotide ribosomal RNA is filed under the name uncultured bacterium. Its description in RNAcentral is "partial 16S ribosomal RNA". It matches the Rfam family "Bacterial small subunit ribosomal RNA", at positions 28 to 526 of the family's 1533-position model. The record is from RNAcentral.
GAUGAACGCUGGCGGCGUGCCUAAUACAUGCAAGUCGAGCGAAGCGGGGACGGGUGAGUAACACGUGGAUAAACUCCUAUACGACUGGGAUAACUUCGGGAAACCGGAGCUAAACCGUAUAAUUCUAGGUGGAUACGCGCUGCAUUAGCUAGUUGGAAAGGUAACGGCUUACAAAGGCAACGAUGAAUAGCAGACCUGAGAGGGUGAGCGGCCACACUGGAACUGAGACACGGUCCAGACUCCUACGGGAGGCAGCAGUAGGUAAUCUGCCGCAAUGGGCGAAAGCCUGACGGAGCAACGCCGCGUGAGUGAUGAAGGUCUGCGGAUCGUAAAACUCUGUUAUUAGGGAAGCGGAACCUAAUCAGAAAGCCACGGCUAACUACGUGCCAGCAGCCGCGGUAAUUC